UUAAAAAAAAAUUGCCCUACUUAUAAAAAGGGUUAAAAUCUGUAAAAUAUACUCCUGCAAAGAAUGGCCUUGCCCAACUUGCAUGACUUGGGUAAAAUCCAAAUGAAUAUAAUUAAUAUUUAAUUUAUAUAAAAAAAUAAAAGUCUGCAAAUUUUGCCCUUAUUUACAUAAAUUUGUACUUCUAGACUACCUAGUUCAAAUAAUUACGACUUCUUGAAAGGCUAUUACAUUUUUUUUAUUUAACGCCUUGCAUUAGAGUAAAGCGUCCAAAAAAUAAUAAUAAUAGCCUUUCAAGACGUCAUAAUAAUUUGGACUACUAGACUACCCAGAAAUUAGAAAACACUGAUUUAAAAAUUUAAUAUAUACAUAAAAUUGAUAAUGGAAAUGGGGAAUGUGUCAAAGAGACAACAACCCGACCAUAAAGCAGACAACAGCAGAAGGUCACCAACAUGUCUUCAAUGCAGCAAGAAAUUCCGGAGGCGUCCAUCAGCUGGCC
This 496-nucleotide long non-coding RNA is filed under the name Mytilus galloprovincialis (Mediterranean mussel). Lineage: Eukaryota; Metazoa; Mollusca; Bivalvia; Mytilida; Mytilidae. The record is from RNAcentral.